CGGUUGGAACGGCGCUGUACGUGUUCCGUGGAGCAUGAUGGGAGCUGUAGUCCCGGAAGGGCUGGAACGCGGCGUUUGGGAAUCCAGGAAGGCACUUGGGGGACACUUUUGCGUCCGAGCCAUGACUUGAGGUCCUCGGGGGGAACGCAAACGUACUUGCCUUUGGACCAGGAGCCCCUGAGGAUCUGUUGAUUCCAAAAUAAACAAUCCCAAGUAUCUCUUUUGCAGCCCUCUGCUGUCUUCCACGGCUUUUUCCUCUUUGGCUCUUCAGGAAAGGAAUGGAGAGGGCAGAAUAGGGACCAGAUUUUUUGGUUCGCUUUUAGACAUGGAGAAGAGCAGAGCUGAUGACUUUGAAAAUAGGAUUAUUUAAAAUGCCAGCAGAGAAGAGGAGAGGGGGCAUCUGAAGCAAUGAAACAAAGCUCUGUUGAUGUGCAACCAGAGCACUGAAGUCAUCGGUCCCCUGGGUGGCCCAAGGACUCUCCCAUCUCAUUGUCCACACAGAGCGGAGGAGAGACUGGUCUGAGACAGGCCAUCAACUUGAAACCAAGGGAUGGAGUUCAGUCAAGAGCCCUCAAAAUGAACCAAGUCCAAAAUGAGAAGAAAUGAGUCACUGUCAAAAUUAAGUGUGGGACUGAAACGUUUGGGAGCUCUCCAGGUGGGGACUUGGGGCAGCCCUAGAGAUGAGCAGAUCCUGCUGUGCCCAGGCCGAUUCUUGUGCAUAAAUGCAGUGAUCACCACUGUGGGUGGAGGCUCUGACUGCUUCAGAGACCCCUGUAGCACCUUCUGCUCCACAGCUGAGUAAAACUGAGCAAAUUACAAUUACUUAAGAAGCUUCCACACUCCAGAGACCACAGGGCAGGUGGAUUAUCAGAACCAAUCAGAACAGCUGUAAGUGAAGCCACAUUUGGUACAGUUGAAGGCUCUGUUGCAAAGGACACUCUUCCAAUGUGAGUUAUUCCACAAUUCAAUCUUUUCCCUCAGGGCUCAUCAAAUAGCAGAGGAAGAAAGAAAAGAGACUUGGUGUUAGUCAGUGUGCACAUUGUAAGAAAGAGAGGCAUUUGAAAAAAGACUGUCUGCAGUUACAACACAAAACCUCCCUCUCGUGACCACCACCGAUGGUCACUGAGGGGGACCAGAGGAUUCUUUCCCAGAAGAACCUCUGGUCACAGCUAAGCUGGGAGGGAGGAGGUCAAUGAGUAGUUAGAAUUUUAGUGGCUACAGGAGCUGGACACUCUAUGCUAAAUACAGCAAAAGGAAGCUUGAGCAAUGAUUCUAUAACAAUCAUUGGUGCAACAGGGAAUCAUGAAACUCAGCCAUUUUCCUGGCCCAUUGAUUUUAAAUUAGGAAAACAAUGGAUCUACUCAAUUUACUAAAGCCUCUCCUUGGAGGAUUUUUGGAAAACCUGAAUGCUAAAAUCAAGAUUAAAAUGGCAAAAUGCAGGUUAUUACUCCAAAGUCUAAUUAUGUGGAAGACUCUAUUUUUGCAUUGCAGUCUUCAAAAUCAGAUGUGAUCCAUCUGUCAUCUGUAUCACUUAAGGAUGCAGUAAAUCUGGUAGUCUGGAUUGGAGAGGUGCCCCAGUGACUCAGAAAAGCAGAGCCUGUAAGAAAUACACUGAAACCCUGAGCAGGACCAGUAAGGCAAAAGCAAUACCCUUUGAAAAAAAUAAAGUUGUAGGGGGUUAUUAUCCCUCGUGGAAAGAUUUAUAAAAUAAGGCCAGUUAAAGGAAUAUUAAUCCAAAUGUAAUAUCCAUAUUUUGCCAGUUAAGAAGGCAAAUGGAGAGGAUUAGUGGCUGGUACAGGAUCCUAGAGCCAUAAAUGGGACAAUGGAAGAUAUACACACGUCAGUAGCAAAUCCUUGUACCUUGCUAACAACCUGGAGUGAAAAAUUAAAAUGGUUCACAGUAUGGAAUUUGAAAGUGGCCUUUUCUGUAUUUCUUUGAAUAGUGAAAGUAAAGAACUAUUUACUUCUGAAUGGGAAAGUCCAAACACAGUGAGAAGAACCCAACUGACUCGGCCAGUUAUACCACAGAGGUUUAUAUGGAGACCAAGUGGCAAAAGAACUGGAGGAAUGGAAGCAUCAGAAGCCUCUUGGAGUCUUGUUCCAGUCUGGAGAUGGCAUUCUGAGGCCACUGAAACUCAGCAGCAAUGCAGGGAUCAGACUGUGGCAUUGUGGAAUUUUCUGGGACUAAGUGAAUACAGAGUACAAACAGUCCAGACCACAGAAGCCUACCUGGGAUUCAAAAUCCUCCAGGGACAAAGGGGGUUGGGACAGGAAGGAAAAGAAGCAAUUUGCCAACUCCCACAGCCAUGAAGGAUGAGAGAGUCACAGGCAUUUCUCAGGGCGGGGGAUGAUGUCAGCUGUGCAUCAGCAAUUAUGGGCUGCUGGUAAAGCCGCUGUGAGAGCUUUUGAAGGCAGCUCAGCAGGACUUUAUAGUGUGGACUGGUAUGGCAUUGGCUGCCUUUUCACAGCUCCAGCGAGCCCUCAUGCGGGCCCUGCUUUGGGGCUCCCAGACCCCAUGGACCCAUUGGAUCUGUUUCCCUAUGAGAGACAAAACCCAGCACGGGGAAUGCUGUCACAGUUCCUGGGGACUGCAGCAGGGCUGUGCCUACUAUUCCCAGCAACCAGACAGUGUCAGCCAGGGCUGUCUGGGCUGUCUGAGGGCAGUAGCAGCUGCUCUUUUAUUGAUCCAGAAAGCUCAAGAACUGACUUUGGGACAGAGUGUUAUAGUUUAAAAAUUCUUUCAAUACACAGUUCAAGAUGAAACCUCCUGGGCAUUUGAAGAAAUCUAAACCAAACUUCCUUCCUGAUUACCCAGCUGUGUUUGGUUAAAACAUCUGUUUGUGAUGGUCACCACAAUAAUUGCUGUAUGGCUUUCACUUCCAUCACAAUUCAGUGUUAUAGUGCACAAUGCUAUAAAAUGGAGCUAUUGAGAGACCAGUGCAUAUAAGGAACUGAACUUUUUCUCAAGAAAAGGGGGGAUGUGAUGAGGACAGUAGAACAGAACAGCACAACCUCAGAGAAACAGAUAAAGAAUGUCACUCACACAAAACACGAGUAGGAUGCCAGCUCUGCUCUGCAAGGCUGACAAAGCAGAAGCUAUGCAAAACAAUAUUGCCCUUACUCAAACGCAGGAGUUGAGGAACGGCCUCUAAAAAGGACACCAGAUGUUGGAAACAGACCCCAAAGAACCACAUAAAGACUUCUGAUAAGGGGUGCAACUAUAUCAAAUAAAGUCAAAGAAAGCAGGGAGAGCUCGCGAUUAUGUAAUCAGUGUGUCUGCAAAAAACUCUGUUCACUUGAUGGUCAGUACACUCGAAUGGAGGAAAGAUGGCCCAAGUGACCACCAUGCUGUAAUAAAGAAUACCUGCUUUCAAAUA
This is a long non-coding RNA of Passer montanus (Eurasian tree sparrow), 3377 nucleotides long. RefSeq lists it as uncharacterized. The transcript has 3 exons. The record is from RefSeq and is a predicted model, not a curated record. NCBI's taxonomy places the organism in Eukaryota, Metazoa, Chordata, Aves, Passeriformes, Passeridae.